CUUGACCGGAGCUAAAACCAACAAAGGCAGAUUCUGGUGGGAGCUGCGGAAGCGCCGGGCACUGAGUCAACAAGCGGGUCUCAUUGAAAUGCAAAUGGCGCGGCCGGGCCAGGCGCGCCACCGCCCGCCCCUUAACUUCUCACCCCCGCGCCGCGCCGCUGAAUGGGCCAUUGACGCGCGCCUGCCCGGCCGUCCGCGGGAGCCCCAGUGCUUGCGAGCUUGUGUCGUCGUUGGCAUCCCUGUAAAUCAUCAUCACAUCAUCGUCAUCACCAUCACCUCCCUUCCAGACCUAAGGAGGUUUAAAGUUAACGCAUGCACCGUUAAAACUCCUACAGGACUUCAAAGGGGGAGUAUAGUGGAGUUGAUUAAAUGGUGGUAUGUAGACUUGGAGCUGCACUUGGCUAUCACCAUCAUCAGUGGGGCAGAGUCAGCCUGAGGCAAGAGAGAGAAUUAGAGCCAGAGAGAGUUCAUCGCAUGGUAUGAGCACCUGGAUUCAGCUGCAUCUGAAUCCAUCCCCUUUUCAGUUAUGUA
Molecule: long non-coding RNA, 531 nt
Filed under: Equus caballus (horse)
Lineage: Eukaryota; Metazoa; Chordata; Mammalia; Perissodactyla; Equidae
Description: lncRNA (ENSECAG00000044133.1)
Source: RNAcentral